Molecule: ribosomal RNA, 748 nt
Filed under: uncultured Fusobacterium sp.
Lineage: Bacteria; Fusobacteriati; Fusobacteriota; Fusobacteriia; Fusobacteriales; Fusobacteriaceae
Description: bacterial SSU rRNA
Rfam family: Bacterial small subunit ribosomal RNA
Source: RNAcentral
UUCGGUUUGGGUGGCGGACGGGUGAGUAACGCGUAAAGAACUUGCCUCACAGAUAGGGACAACAUUUGGAAACGAAUGCUAAUACCUGAUAUUAUGAUUUUAGGGCAUCCUAGGAUUAUGAAAGCUAUAUGCGCUGUGAGAGAGCUUUGCGUCCCAUUAGCUAGUUGGAGAGGUAACGGCUCACCAAGGCGAUGAUGGGUAGCCGGCCUGGGAGGGUGAUCGGCCACAAGGGGACUGAGACACGGCCCUUACUCCUACGGGAGGCAGCAGUGGGGAAUAUUGGACAAUGGACCAAGAGUCUGAUCCAGCAAUUCUGUGUGCACGAUGAAGUUUUUCGGAAUGUAAAGUGCUUUCAGUUGGGAAGAAAAAAAUGACGGUACCAACAGAAGAAGUGACGGCUAAAUACGUGCCAGCAGCCGCGGUAAUACGUAUGUCACAAGCGUUAUCCGGAUUUAUUGGGCGUAAAGCGCGUCUAGGUGGUUAUGUAAGUCUGAUGUGAAAAUGCAGGGCUCAACUCUGUAUUGCGUUGGAAACUGUGUAACUAGAGUACUGGAGAGGUAAGCGGAACUACAAGUGUAGAGGUGAAAUUCGUAGAUAUUUGUAGGAAUGCCGAUGGGGAAGCCAGCUUACUGGACAGAUACUGACGCUGAAGCGCGAAAGCGUGGGUAGCAAACAGGAUUAGAUACCCUGGUAGUCCACGCCGUAAACGAUGAUUACUAGGUGUUGGGGGUCGAACCUCAGCGCCCAA